UAGUCCACGCCGUAAACGAUGAGUGCUAGGCGUCGGAGGUGUUUACCCCUUCGGUGCCGUAGUUAACGCGAUAAGCACUCCGCCUGGGGAGUACGGCCGCAAGGCUGAAACUCAAAGGAAUUGACGGGGGCCCGCACAAGCGGUGGAGCAUGUGGUUUAAUUCGACGCAACGCGCAGAACCUUACCCGGUCUUGACAUCCUAGGAACCUCUGUGAAAGCAGAGGGUGUCCCCUCACGGGGAAGCCUAGUGACAGGUGCUGCAUGGCUGUCGUCAGCUCGUGUCGUGAGAUGUUCGGUUAAGUCCGGCAACGAGCGCAACCCUUGUCGUUAGUCACCAUCAGUUAGGCUGGGUACUCUAGCGAGACUGCCGGUGACAAACCGGAGGAAGGUGGGAUGACGUCAAGUCCUCAUGGCCUUUAUGAUCGGGGGCUACACACGUGCUACAAUGGUGACUACAAAGGGCAGCAAUAUCGCAAGAUGGAGCAAAUCCCAAAAAGUCUACCUC
RNAcentral lists this ribosomal RNA (505 nucleotides) under uncultured bacterium. Its description in RNAcentral is "bacterial SSU rRNA". It matches the Rfam family "Bacterial small subunit ribosomal RNA", at positions 791 to 1289 of the family's 1533-position model. The record is from RNAcentral.